This 275-nucleotide ribosomal RNA is filed under the name uncultured bacterium. Its description in RNAcentral is "partial 16S ribosomal RNA". It matches the Rfam family "Bacterial small subunit ribosomal RNA", at positions 79 to 353 of the family's 1533-position model. The record is from RNAcentral.
CUAAGUUUGAUGGCGACCGGCGCACGGGUGAGUAACACGUAUCCAACCUGCCGAUGACUCGGGGAUAGCCUUUCGAAAGAAAGAUUAAUACCCGAUGGCAUAGUUCUUCCGCAUGGUGGAACUAUUAAAGAAUUUCGGUCAUCGAUGGGGAUGCGUUCCAUUAGGUUGUUGGCGGGGUAACGGCCCACCAAGCCUUCGAUGGAUGGGGGUUCUGAGAGGAAGGUCCCCCACAUUGGAACUGAGACACGGUCCAAACUCCUACGGGAGGCAGCAUG